Molecule: long non-coding RNA, 986 nt
Organism: Oncorhynchus nerka (sockeye salmon)
Lineage: Eukaryota; Metazoa; Chordata; Actinopteri; Salmoniformes; Salmonidae
Exons: 3
Source: RefSeq, a predicted model, not a curated record
AAACACUAGCCACCUGUCAGGAAUGGUAAACAGCCUACACCCGACAACCCUCACAUUGAAAGCUGACUGCCUCCCCCCCUCUUGGCAGAUGAGACUCCGUCGAGGGAAACAUUUUAUCUUGUAAAGCCUUCUAAGAACUUUGCCGCAUAAGUGAAAGUGAACCGUUAUUUCAGACACCAGACAUGCAACCUGGUAUUAGCGAGAUUAGAGACUGACUAAAAACACGCUUGGUUUCGACCCCUCUGGCUGUGAAGAGUAGCCCGGGUUGACAGCGUCUCUGAUGGACAACGGGGAAAGGAUUAUAUUUUACAUACACCGGACACAUACUUCAUUUUAUAACUCAGUGAAAUUCUGCCUAAUGAUUGUUGUCUGACACCGGGAGCAGUGCCUCGAGGCAACUGCCAAAAUGAAGGAAACAUCAACAUGGAGUGUCUUAAAAAGGCUCUGGGCCACUACUACAUAGACUCUACAAGUGUCUGGAAUUCUGUUGGAGGGAUGGGACAACAUUCUUCGGCACUAUCUACAAAGGUCAGUGGGAAAAAGUUGUGAUGGACUACUUUCUGGAGGACGAUCGUGCCAUGCUGACUCUCUCCGACUCUGAAAAUGAAUCAGACGAUGAGGAAAUCCCUGAUUUACAAUACUGUUCAAAAGAUUGGGGUCAUUAAGAAAUGUCCUUGUUUUUUUAAAGAAAAGCCCAUUUUUUUUGUCCAUUAAUAUAACAUUUGUCAGAAAUACAGUGUAGACAUUGUUAAUGUUGUAAAUUACUAUUGUAGCUGGAAACGGGUGAUACAAAAAAUGUAAUAUCUACAUAAGCGUACAGAGGCCCAUUAUCAGCAACCAUCACUCCUGUGUUCCAAUGGCACGUUGUGUUAGCUAAUCCAAGUGUAGAAUUUUAAAAGGCUAAUUGGUUAUUAGAAAAGCCUUUUGCAAUUAUGUUAGCAUAGCUGAAAACUGUUGUACUGAUUUAAAGAAGCAAUAAAACUGUC